UAACACAUGCAAGUCGAGUGGGAAACGACGGGGAAGCUUGCUUCCCCCGGGCGUCGACCGGCGCACGGGUGAGUAACGCGUAUCCAACCUGCCUCUGACUGAGGGAUAACCCGUCGAAAGUCGGCCUAAUACCUCAUGGCAUCGUCUGCGGGCAUCCAACGACGAUUAAAGAUUUCAUCGGUCAGAGAUGGGGAUGCGUCUGAUUAGCUAGUUGGCGGGGUAACGGCCCACCAAGGCGACGAUCAGUAGGGGUUCUGAGAGGAAGGUCCCCCACAUUGGAACUGAGACACGGUCCAAACUCCUACGGGAGGCAGCAGUGAGGAAUAUUGGUCAAUGGGCGAGAGCCUGAACCAGCCAAGUAGCGUGCAGGAUGACGGCCCUAUGGGUUGUAAACUGCUUUUAUGCGGGGAUAAAGUGAGGGACGUGUCCUUCAUUGCAGGUACCGCAUGAAUAAGGACCGGCUAAUUCCGUGCCAGCAGCCGCGGUAAUACGGAAGGUCCGGGCGUUAUCCGGAUUUAUUGGGUUUAAAGGGAGCGUAGGCCGUGGAUUAAGCGUGUUGUGAAAUGCAGGUGCUCAACGUCUGCACUGCAGCGC
Molecule: ribosomal RNA, 594 nt
Filed under: uncultured Bacteroidales bacterium
Lineage: Bacteria; Pseudomonadati; Bacteroidota; Bacteroidia; Bacteroidales
Description: bacterial SSU rRNA
Rfam family: Bacterial small subunit ribosomal RNA
Source: RNAcentral